Molecule: long non-coding RNA, 647 nt
Filed under: Ictidomys tridecemlineatus (thirteen-lined ground squirrel)
Lineage: Eukaryota; Metazoa; Chordata; Mammalia; Rodentia; Sciuridae
Description: lncRNA (ENSSTOG00000031288.1)
Source: RNAcentral
GCAUAUGAUUUCUAAAAAGAAUUUUACAAAACAAUCUUACUUUAUCCAAGACGGCAAGCUGAAUGCACCAAGACAGCACGAAUUCAGUCUGCACUACCUGCAGCAAAGCCAGCAGCACCAGCUCCCACUCCAAUGGCAGCGCCUCCACCACCCCCACCACCUCCAGGGGCACAUCUCUAUGAAGAACUUGGAGACAGCGCAAUGCAAAGCAGGGGAAAUAACUCACUCUCAGAAGACAGGACAAAUCAGCAAGUUGUGAAGCCCUUUUCUUCCAAUACCAUUGAGGCUCACAAGCCAGCUCAUGUAGAUGGAUCACUUAAAAACAACCAACAGAAGUCUCCAAGAAAAUUCACAUUUCUAUCCGAUAAGGACGGCUUAAGUGCUUGUAACCCCCUUUAUAAGGAAAAGAUAGGUCCAGUAUCAACACAUUCAGACAUUUCCUUGAGAACAGAUUUUGAAGACCCAUUUUUAGUGGAAACAAAAGUCAAGAGUCAGUCCCUGAGGGGCCCAAGAGAAAAGAUUGAGAGGACGUGGAACCAGCCAGUCAGCUUACCUAGGAGACUGAUGCGGAAGGUUCCAAACAGACCAGAAACCAUAGAUCUGAUGCAAUGGCAGAACACCUGGCAAAAAGCUGAAAAUACAAGCAA